GACGAACGCUGGCGGCGUGCCUAAUACAUGCAAGUAGAACGCUGAAGGAGGAGCUUGCUUCUCUGGAUGAGUUGCGAACGGGUGAGUAACGCGUAGGUAACCUGCCUGGUAGCGGGGGAUAACUAUUGGAAACGAUAGCUAAUACCGCAUAAUAUUGACUAUUGCAUGAUAGUCAGUUGAAAGGUGCAACUGCACCACUACCAGAUGGACCUGCGUUGUAUUAGCUAGUUGGUGGGGUAACGGCUCACCAAGGCGACGAUACAUAGCCGACCUGAGAGGGUGAUCAGCCACACUGGGACUGAGACACGGCCCAGACUCCUACGGGAGGCAGCAGUAGGGAAUCUUCGGCAAUGGACGGAAGUCUGACCGAGCAACGCCGCGUGAGUGAAGAAGGUUUUCGGAUCGUAAAGCUCUGUUGUAAGAGAAGAACGAGUGUGAGAGUGGAAAGCUCACACUGUGACGGUAUCUGACCAGAAAGGGACGGCUAACUACGUG
RNAcentral lists this ribosomal RNA (495 nucleotides) under uncultured bacterium. RNAcentral describes it as "partial 16S ribosomal RNA". It matches the Rfam family "Bacterial small subunit ribosomal RNA", at positions 28 to 507 of the family's 1533-position model. The record is from RNAcentral.